This 245-nucleotide ribosomal RNA is filed under the name uncultured bacterium. RNAcentral describes it as "partial 16S ribosomal RNA". It matches the Rfam family "Bacterial small subunit ribosomal RNA", at positions 88 to 334 of the family's 1533-position model. The record is from RNAcentral.
AUGGCGACCGGCGCACGGGUGAGUAACACGUAUCCAACCUGCCGAUGACUCGGGGAUAGCCUUUCGAAAGAAAGAUUAAUACCCGAUGGCAUAGUUCUUCCGCAUGGUAGAACUAUUAAAGAAUUUCGGUCAUCGAUGGGGAUGCGUUCCAUUAGGUAGUAGGCGGGGUAACGGCCCACCUAGUCUUCGAUGGAUAGGGGUUCUGAGAGGAAGGUCCCCCACAUUGGAACUGAGACACGGUCCAA